UUUAGAAUCUGUCACUUAUUUACCACUCUUCUCCAAGUUACAGGGUAAAAAACACUGAAAUUCAGAGACCAAGGAAGAAGGAGGCUCACGAAGGUCCCGGGACAGGCUGCCCUCUGUAGCAUUCCUCCAUCUGGUGUUUAUGGAGCUACCCAACACUGCUCUUUGUGAGCAACUAUGUUGAAAGAGAGAAAGAGAGAAGAUCCCAAGCAGACUGUCAGCACGGAGCCUGAUGCGGGGCUUGAACUCAUGAACCCUGAGAUCACGACCUGAGCUGAAAUCAAGAGUUGGACGUUUAACCUAGCCCCACCCAGGCGCCCCAGCAAGGCACUGUAUUUACACGAUGAUGUAACCUACACAAUGAGAGAAGAGAACUUCAAGGAAAAGGGAGUUGUCAGCCCUAUCUGCUUUCCUGUUAAGGAGAAUGGAAACACGUAGAUCAAUGGAACGGAAUACAGAACCCAGAAAAGGACCCACAAAUGUACGGCCUACUAAUAAUCUUCAACAAGGCAGGAAAGACCAUUCAGUGGAAAAGAGACAGUCUCUUCAGUAAAUGGUGCUGGGAAAACUGGACAGCGACAAGAAUGAAACUGGAUCACUUUCUUACACCAUACACAAAAAUUAAAUCAAAAUGAAUGAAAGAUCUAGAUAUGAUACAGGAAACCAUCAAAAUCCUACAGGAGAAAACAGGCAGCAACCUCUUUGACCUCGGCCACAGCAACUUCUUACUAGAUGUAUCUCCAGAGGCAAGGGAAAUGAAAGCAAAAAUGAACUACUGGGACCUCAUCAAGAUAAUUCUGCACAGCAAAGGAAACAACCAACAAAACUAAAAGGCAACUGACAGAAUGAGAGAAUAUAUUUGCAAAUGACAUAUCAGAUAAAGAGUUAGUAUCCAAAAUCUAUAAAGAACUUAUCAAACUCAACACCGCCCCCCCCAAAAAAAAUAAUAAUCCAGUGAAGAAAUGGGCAUAAGAUAUAAAUAAAUAGACACUUUUCCAAAGAAGACAUUCAGAUGGCUAACAGACACAUGAAAAGAUGCUCAACAUCAUUCAUCAUCAGGGAAAUACAAAUCAAAACCACAAUGAGAUAUCACCUCACACCUGUCAGAUUGGCUAAAAUUAACAGCUCAGGAAACAACAGAUGUUGGCAAGGAUACCGA
Molecule: long non-coding RNA, 1156 nt
Organism: Neofelis nebulosa (Clouded leopard)
Lineage: Eukaryota; Metazoa; Chordata; Mammalia; Carnivora; Felidae
Exons: 3
Source: RefSeq, a predicted model, not a curated record